UCCGGCUUAACGCCGGCAGUCUCGUUAGAGUCCUCGGCUUGACCCGUUAGUAACUAACGACAGGGGUUUCGCUCGUUAAGGGACUUAACCCGACACUUCACAGCACGAGCUGACGACAGCCGUGCAACACCUGUGCACGUUUCACCCCGAAGGGCAGUUUCUCAACUCAUCGCCGAGAAACAUCCGUGCAUGUCAAACCCGGGUAAGGUUCUUCGCGUUGCUUCGAAUUAAGCCACAUGCUCCACCGCUUGUGUGAGCCCCCGUCAAUUCCUUUGAGUUUUAGCCUUGCGGCCGUACUCCCCAGGCGGCACACUUAGCACUUUUGCUACGACGGCGAAAACGUCAGAGUUUCCGUCAUCUAGUGUGCAUCGUUUACAGCGUGGACUAC
Molecule: unclassified non-coding RNA, 388 nt
Filed under: uncultured Phycisphaerae bacterium
Lineage: Bacteria; Pseudomonadati; Planctomycetota; Phycisphaerae
Description: contains 16S-23S intergenic spacer region
Source: RNAcentral